GACGAACGCUGGCGGCGUGCUUAACACAUGCAAGUCGAACGGAAAGGCCCUGCUUUUGUGGGGUGCUCGAGUGGCGAACGGGUGAGUAACACGUGAGUAACCUGCCCUUGACUUUGGGAUAACUUCAGGAAACUGGGGCUAAUACCGGAUAGGAGCUCCUGCUGCAUGGUGGGGGUUGGAAAGUUUCGGCGGUUGGGGAUGGACUCGCGGCUUAUCAGCUUGUUGGUGGGGUAGUGGCUUACCAAGGCUUUGACGGGUAGCCGGCCUGAGAGGGUGACCGGCCACAGUGGGACUGGGAUACGGCCCAGACUCCUACGGGAGGCAGCAGUGGGGAAUAUUGCACAAUGGGCGGAAGCCGGAUGCAGCAACGCCGCGUGCGGGAUGACGGCCUUCGGGUUGUAAACCGCUUUCGCCUGUGACGAAGCGUGAGUGACGGUAAUGGGUAAAGAGGCACCGGCUAACUACGU
RNAcentral lists this ribosomal RNA (467 nucleotides) under uncultured bacterium. RNAcentral describes it as "partial 16S ribosomal RNA". It matches the Rfam family "Bacterial small subunit ribosomal RNA", at positions 28 to 506 of the family's 1533-position model. The record is from RNAcentral.